Molecule: long non-coding RNA, 361 nt
Organism: Magnolia sinica
Lineage: Eukaryota; Viridiplantae; Streptophyta; Magnoliopsida; Magnoliales; Magnoliaceae
Exons: 2
Source: RefSeq, a predicted model, not a curated record
UGAUUAUAGCUGAAAUAGUCGAUACAUGGGGUUGUUGGACACUUUGAUGUAUGCUAACUCCUUUUUGUACUACAGCCCUGUUUGAUAGGCUGUGUCAAAGAUGAUUGGGUUUCUGUACCUCUGUUAUGUGGGUAAGAACAAUUGGAGUCUUAUGGAAUGGAUCAGUUGUACCUCUGUUAUGUGGUACACUCUGGAUCUUAAAUCAUUUAUAUUGUCUAUGGUUUUUAUGCUCUUUUCAGUUUCUUGAUCAUGUAACCUAAAACUAUUUGAGAGUUGUUUGUGUUUAGGAGUGUAAGAUCAUAUAUCAUGUAAUGUCAGUGGUGGUCUCUUUAUACUUUAUAUCAUAUGCAUUUGGUCUCAA